Alosa alosa (allis shad) is the source of this 1463-nucleotide long non-coding RNA. RefSeq lists it as uncharacterized. The transcript is spliced from 4 exons. NCBI's taxonomy places the organism in Eukaryota, Metazoa, Chordata, Actinopteri, Clupeiformes, Clupeidae. The record is from RefSeq and is a predicted model, not a curated record.
CUGGCAGUGUCGGCUGAAGUCCGAGUCGGCUGAAGCACAGUAAACACAGUCGGCCCGAUCCUGGCUGAGUGCUGCCACUGUCGGCGGAGUUUCAGGUCGGCUGAGGCACUGUCCCCUUGAAUGGGCCGACACUGACACGCAGUAGUUGGGCUGAUUACUGAGUGUCUAUUGGCCCGAUUGGGGUUUGAUUUCUUUUACUGUCUAUGGGUUUGAUGGGCUACUGCCAGUUUUCGAAUCAAUCUCGGCAGACGGAUUUCAUACAGUGUGUGGCCCGAUACUUCAGGAACGAACACUGAUCAGUAUCGUGGCUGUUGGCGGCAAAAAUGAAACAUUUAGCGACGGACGCUAAACGUACAUGGUCCAAUUCUGUAAAGUGACUGUCGGCCCAUUACAAGUGGAAGAGCCACGAGCAGAGCAACUGUUCAGUUUGAAACCAGCAGGACGGCGCGAAACUGUCUCGUUUUGGACACUGCCUGUGAAUCCAGGCCACACUGACCAGAGACCUGCCUGCACUCCUUUGGAUGAAGAAGGCUACCCGUGUAUACAUGUGUGAACCAUUUCUUGUGUUGGAAAAACAGGAGAAUAAGUAAUAUGUUUUUGUUUAGAUGAGCCAAAUCAUAGGAAUCAGCUUUCAUCUAGGCCUGUGUUUUGUGAUGUGUCAUUUUUAGAUGCUUUUGGUUUGCCUCAUCCAUUAUGUCAGCAAAGAACAGGAGUGGGCAGGAAACAUGCGCUGUUGAAAACAUGGCCAACCAACUGGAGCACCCACAAGGCUCUUGUGAAGGAAGUCCACAAGCCUUUGUGCUUCAGGAUGGAUGGAAAGAACUCUUUGAUCAACCCCUACAGAGAGCUGAGGUGGCUAUCUUUUGGAGACACCCCCGGCUGGUAGUGCUGCUGAAGCUGGUGGAGGCAACAAUGAAGCGGCAACAGAAAGAGAAGGCAGGUGGCAAAGGUUGCUGCUAUUGAAAAAUACUUUGAGAGUGAGUAUGUGUGCAUGUAUGUAGCUGGGUAGGUCAUGGUACAUGGUACAAAAAUACAGAAUUUAAAGCACUAGCACUUAACACUUAACUCACAACCCACAACUACUGACAAUGGAAUUACUCUUUUAGAGUGAGUGAGUGAGGGAGAGAGAUAGAAUAUUUCUGUAAAUGUUUAAUGUUAAUUUAGAAUAAUUUAUUUCUUUGAAUCAUUAUACAGUUUUAAAAUGUUUAAUUGUUUGUGUUUUUGUAUAUGAAAGAAGUCGAUUGUUGUAGAUAAAAGUAGAUUGUAUAUUUUAACUUGUUUAAUUUCUAAAGUGUAUAUAUGUAAAAGCUUGUAUAAUUUUUAAAUGUUUGUUUUAUUUGCAAGGUUGUGUUUGUCAAACUUGUUAAUAAAAGUAGCUUGUGCUUUUAAUUACUAGUUCUGGAUUUGUGUUUAUUUUCAAGUACUUUUGGUAGUUAAUGGGCCACAUGUGGCCCGGGGACCCA